This 468-nucleotide ribosomal RNA is filed under the name uncultured bacterium. Its description in RNAcentral is "partial 16S ribosomal RNA". It matches the Rfam family "Bacterial small subunit ribosomal RNA", at positions 28 to 507 of the family's 1533-position model. The record is from RNAcentral.
GACGAACGCUGGCGGCGUGCUUAACACAUGCAAGUCGAACGGAAAGGCCCUGCUUUUGUGGGGUGCUCGAGUGGCGAACGGGUGAGUAACACGUGAGUAACCUGCCCCUCACUUUGGGAUAACUUCAGGAAACUGGGUCUAAUACCGGAUAGGAGCUCCUGCUGCAUGGUGGGGGUUGGAAAGUUUCGGCGGUUGGGGAUGGACUCGCGGCUUAUCAGCUUGUUGGUGGGGUAGUGGCUUACCAAGGCUUAGACGGGUAGCCGGCCUUGGAGGGUGACCGGCACCAUUGGGACUGAGACAGGGACCCGGCUCCGACGGGGGGGAGAGGUGGGGGUUGGUGAACAGUGGGCGGGAGCCUGAUGCAGCAACGCCGCGUCCGGGAGGACGGCCUUCGGGUUGGAGGCCGAUUGCGCCUGUGACGAGGCGGGAGUGACGGGAAUGGGUAAAAAAGCCCCGGCUAACUACGUG